AGAGUUUGAUCCUGGCUCAGAGUGAACGCUGGCGGCGUGGUUUAGGCAUGCAAGUCGAACGAUACCGCAAGGUAUAGUGGCAAAAGGGUGCGUAACGCGUGAGCAAUCUACCUUUAAGUGGGGAAUAACCCUGGGAAACCGGGGCUAAAACCGCAUAUGACCACGGCUCGGAAUCGAGCUGUGGUAAAAGAUGGGGACCGUAAGGCCUGUCGCUUAGAGAUGAGCUCGCGUCCUAUCAGCUUGUUGGCGGGGUAACGGCCCACCAAGGCUUUUGACGGGUAGCUGGUCUGAGAGGAUGGUCAGCCACAUUGGGACUGAGACACUGCCCAGACUCCUGCGGGAGGCUGCAGUCGAGAAUCUUUUGCAAUGCCCGAAAGGGUGACAAUGCGACGCCGCGUGUGCGAUGAAGGUCUUCGGAUUGUAAAGCACUGUCAGUCGGGAGGAAGGUGACUCUAUCGAACAGAUGGAGUUGCUGACAGUACCGGCAGAGGA
Molecule: ribosomal RNA, 492 nt
Filed under: uncultured bacterium
Lineage: Bacteria
Description: bacterial SSU rRNA
Rfam family: Bacterial small subunit ribosomal RNA
Source: RNAcentral